RNA transcript from Triticum aestivum (bread wheat), 1232 nucleotides. RefSeq lists it as uncharacterized. Lineage: Eukaryota; Viridiplantae; Streptophyta; Magnoliopsida; Poales; Poaceae. The record is from RefSeq and is a predicted model, not a curated record. The transcript has 5 exons.
GAUCUGCCGAGCUCCCCUCGCUCUCCUCGAUCCAGAUCGCCGUGCUCUGCUCCUCCCUCCCUCCCCUCCGGCAAGAUCCCCACGCCCCUCCCUCCCUCUCUUCCCUCCGGCGGCCUCUCUCUCCUCGAUCCGCAACCAAUCAAACCGCAACCAAUCCCCCACCCCACCCUUCCUCCCUCUCACUCGCGUAGGUGCAAGCGCAGGGCACAACGCCCAAUCCAAGGCGACGCCGUCCUCGUGCGCGCUCGCGGUGGCCAUGACGGCGCAGGCGCUCGCGCCGCCGCCGCCGGAGCCGCGGCAGCUCAGCCUGGCGGACCUCAGGGCCGUCUCCGUGCUCGGCCGCGGCGCCAAGGGCGUCGUCUUCCACGUCGUGCCCGAGGGCGAGGGCGGCGCCGGCGACGUCGCCAUGGCACUCAAGGCGGUCUCGCAGGAGGCCGUGCGGCACAAGAAGAGCGGCGGGAGCGGCGGCGGGGACGGACAGCAGCGGCGGCGACCUCAACUCCCUCCGCCGCCGCCAGACCGAGAUGUUCUCCGACUCCGUCAUACGGGACGCGACCAAGAUCCUGGUGGCCUCGCACUCCACCGCGCCUGACAGCAAGCUGAAGGCCGUCUACAAGAAGUACUCGAGCGAGAAACUGGGAGGAGUUGCCCUUCCAGAUUAGAUCAUGCUUGGUUUUAGCUAUAUAUGCAUGCCUUUCUUUACAAUGCCCAUUUGCCAAGGUACCCGUGAUUAACCUCUGGUUUCCUCUCUCUCUCUCUCCUUGUGCAGCGGCUAUUGAUUGGUCUCAGGUCCAUGGAGCUCCAACGUCAAGGGCACAAAGCAGCAGCAGCAGCAAAGACAGAGGCCAAGGCAUUCAUCCAGGAGGUGCGCAGUCCGCUCGGCAUCAAACUUAUUAUACACUUGUGAACAUUAUUGGAAUGAGACUCGAAGGAGACCAUACGCAAGGCACCUCCUCUUCGGUUGUGAGAGUGUCCAGGGGUCGUGGGUGCGGCUAAUGCCUAUGAUCUAAUGUUGUCGAGGUUGCUGCUGCUGUGACAGAAGAUCAGAAGAAGCUUGGAGAUGCGCUCCAUAGUUUUAGUUGAUGUUGCCACCAAGUUUUGGUGCUUGUGUAUCUGUUUUUGAUUGUAUGUGCACUUGUUGGACGUGCAAACGUGUAUGUGCUCUUGUUAGUAUUUGACUGGAUGAUUUCUGGAUUUAAUCAGUUAAUUGAGAGAUUUAUUGAUUUUUUGCU